Molecule: ribosomal RNA, 497 nt
Filed under: uncultured bacterium
Lineage: Bacteria
Description: partial 16S ribosomal RNA
Rfam family: Bacterial small subunit ribosomal RNA
Source: RNAcentral
GAUGAACGCUGGCGGCGUGCCUAAUACAUGCAAGUCGAGCGAACAGACGAGGAGCUUGCUCCUCUGACGUUAGCGGCGGACGGGUGAGUAACACGUGGAUAACCUACCUAUAAGACUGGGAUAACUUCGGGAAACCGGAGCUAAUACCGGAUAAUAUAUUGAACCGCAUGGUUCAAUAGUGAAAGACGGUUUUGCUGUCACUUAUAGAUGGAUCCGCGCCGCAUUAGCUAGUUGGUAAGGUAACGGCUUACCAAGGCAACGAUGCGUAGCCGACCUGAGAGGGUGAUCGGCCACACUGGAACUGAGACACGGUCCAGACUCCUACGGGAGGCAGCAGUAGGGAAUCUUCCGCAAUGGGCGAAAGCCUGACGGAGCAACGCCGCGUGAGUGAUGAAGGUCUUCGGAUCGUAAAACUCUGCUAUUAGGGAAGAACAAAUGUGUAAGUAACUAUGCACGUCUUGACGGUACCUAAUCAGAAAGCCACGGCUAACUACGUG